RNAcentral lists this ribosomal RNA (527 nucleotides) under uncultured bacterium. RNAcentral describes it as "partial 16S ribosomal RNA". It matches the Rfam family "Bacterial small subunit ribosomal RNA", at positions 355 to 895 of the family's 1533-position model. The record is from RNAcentral.
UGGGGAAUAUUGGACAAUGGGCGAAAGCCUGAUCCAGCAAUGCCGCGUGAGUGAUGAAGGCCUUAGGGUUGUAAAGCUCUUUUUACCCGGGAUGAUAAUGACAGUACCGGGAGAAUAAGCUCCGGCUAACUCCGUGCCAGCAGCCGCGGUAAUACGGAGGGAGCUAGCGUUGUUCGGAAUUACUGGGCGUAAAGCGCACGUAGGCGGCUUUGUAAGUUAGAGGUGAAAAGCCUGGAGCUCAACUCCAGAAUUGCCUUUUAAGACUGCAUCGCUCGAAUCCAGGAGAGGUGAGUGGAAUUCCGAGUGUAGAGGUGAAAUUCGUAGAUAUUCGGAAGAACACCAGUGGCGAAGGCGGCUCACUGGACUGGUAUUGACGCUGAGGUGCGAAAGCGUGGGGAGCAAAACAGGAUUAGAUACCCUGGUAGUCCACGCCGUAAAACGAUGAUAACUAGCUGUCCGGGGACUUGGUCUUUGGGUGGCGCAGCUAACGCAUUAAGUUAUCGCCUGGGGAGUACGGCCGCAAGGUU